GGUGGAGCCGGUGACCCGAGCUGGUAGUAGGUGAGUGAUGGGGUGACGCAGGAAGGUAGUCCAUCCCGGGCGGUGGUUGUCCCGGGGUAAGGGUGUAGGCCGGACGGUAGGCAAAUCCGCCGUUCAUUAAGGCUGAGACCUGAUGCCGAGCCGAUUGUGGUGAAGUGGAUGAUCCUAUGCUGUCGAGAAAAGCCUCUAGCGAGUUUCAUGGCGGCCCGUACCCUAAACCGA
Molecule: ribosomal RNA, 231 nt
Organism: Streptomyces sp. NRRL WC-3605
Lineage: Bacteria; Bacillati; Actinomycetota; Actinomycetes; Kitasatosporales; Streptomycetaceae
Rfam family: Bacterial large subunit ribosomal RNA
Source: Rfam